CUCGUAGAUACAAUUUUGAAAAUGUGUCGAUCUGCAAGUCUCUUUUUCGCUUUCCUCAUUGCUGGAUUGGUCCUAUGUGAGGCCCUUCCACAAGUAAAUCAUGUACCCAACAAGCCUCAAAAUGAAGGAAUUCUGACUCAUACUGCUGGAGUGAAAGGUAGACACGAACAUAUUGCCUCAUGCUUCGGUCCCCAUCCAACGUCAACUGCAGCACCUACACCAACAAAUGCUACUGUAGGCUAAACCUUUCAGUUCAAUCAAUUAUUGAAACAAUGGUGAAAUAAAUGAACAGUAUAAAAACUUG
Long non-coding RNA from Leptinotarsa decemlineata (Colorado potato beetle), 304 nucleotides. The record is from RefSeq and is a predicted model, not a curated record. Lineage: Eukaryota; Metazoa; Arthropoda; Insecta; Coleoptera; Chrysomelidae.